AAGAUGGGCACAGAUGUUAGCUCAGGGCCCGUCUUCCUCAGCAAAAAGAGGAGGAUUGGAAGCAGAUGUUAGCUCAGGGCUAAUCUUCCUCAAAAAAAAAAAAAGUGAUAAAGAAGAGCAGCGCACUAGCAGGUGUAAUGAUGGACAUGACAAAGUCCAUAUCCACUAGAAUGUGAGCUCCAUGGGGCAGGAAGUCUGUUUACUGCUGUAUGACCAUGACCUUGAACCAGUGCCUGACAAAUAGUACGUGCCCUGGGCUUGUCUAACUUGCUGGAAAAGAAAACCUAUUCUAAAUAGGACAAGUAUUUGAAGUUUUUAGUGAGCUCAACCUCAGUUAGUCAUAAUAAGUUGUACUAGGAAAAGGACUCUUGUAGAAGCCUCAAAAAUUAAUCCAAGGAAAUGAUCAUUUAAUAAAAAUACAUAAAAUCAUGCAUCUGCAGUUUGAGUGUAAGACUUUUGCAGCUGGCUUCUGUCCUCUGUUCAGCUUCUCUUUUCAAGCAGCGAAGGGCUAAAGUUUUUAUCUUAUUGCAGACUUUUUCUGUGCAGCAUACCACCAAUAAGGGAGGAGAGGAAAGAAGUGCUAAGCAAAUGACGAGUAUGGAGAGGGAUUUGAUCAGAGCUCCCAUCUUGUCCCCUGGAAGAUGCAUGUUGGAGAGAAAUCCUAAAAGGCAGUGAGAGUGGAGAGUGUUUUGGUUGAAGUGAUAUUCUUCAAGUCCACUCAGUUUGCACUGAGGCGAGAGGACUUCCUGUGAAUAAGGGUGGGAAGAGCAGCAGAGAGAGCACAUACCUUCACAUUCACGAGAGUCCACAAGGAAAAGAAGCCCUACGAAUGCUCCAUACUUAGAAAGGAUUUGACGUACGGCUGAGUUCUCCACACUCAUCGGAGAGUUCUCUCAGGAAAUCCAUCCCACAGAUAUGAAUGUGGUAAGAAUGAAAAAGACCAUGAACGUGAUGAGUGCAGUAAGGGCUUCACUUGGAAUUCAGAUCUUCAUGUUCAUCUUAGAAUCCACGUGGGAGACAAGGCUCCAUAAAUGUAAAAAAUACAGUAGGGACUUCAAUUGAAACUGCCAUCUUUUGGCUCAUCAGCGAUGAAUGAAGAAGAGAAAACCAUAUACAUAUGAAGAAUUUACUGUUUUCAAUAAUAGUGCACACCUUCUCCCUCAUCAAAGUCUGCACAAGAGAACAGAAUUCUUGACCCUUCAGGGCUCAGUGCAGAAUCAGAUGCCACUGUCUAUAAUCCAGGCAUGAAUGCUUUCAGAAGAGUCAGAGACACACACAACUGUUGGAAAGGCUAAGGGAAUGAUGACCAGGGAAGCAACACCAGCCUGCAGCAUCAAAGUGGACUCUCAGGAGCUUUCUUAGAUGCUCCUGCCAAUCUUGAGAAUCUGUCCACAGCAGCCAAGGGGGUGAUCCUCCAGGGCUUUCUCUGAAGCUGCUGAAGACGGGGAAGGCCCCACAUACUAUCUCAGUCGUGGACACCAAUGUGGGUGAUUACCAAGAAGCUCUCCUGGAAGCUGCCUCAAAGUUCUUGCCCGCCCCUGCCUCUGCCUGCAGCUGCCUGCAGAGAAUAAUGCCCUCUCUUCUCGGGCUUUCUGAAUCCCAUGUGAGCACCUUCUCAGUGGCUAACUGUACCCAAGAAGCAUCUGGGGAAGGGGAUUCUGAGAUACGCUGUUCUUGUCUUCUCUUCCAGUGUAGGAGACCUUAGAAGAGCCAGUCAUGAAGAAGUGAUGAAGCCAAGUCAACCACACACAGUCUAGCAUAGUGCUGUAAGGGCUUCAUUUGCACCUCAAGUCUUAGUAAACACCAGAGUCCACGCUCAUUUGUGUUCAGUCCACAUAUGUGAUGCUGAAAGAAGGGCUACAGUUAGCGCUCGCCUCUGUGAGGACCAAUUUUGCUCAUGCAGUUGAGAGACCCUAUCGGUGUCAUGACUGGCGAGGAUGCCAAGGGAACCUCUGGUCUUCCCAAUCGUUAGACAUCGAUGCAGAGCAGAAACUGUGAAUGUGAUCAUUGUAACCAUGGCUAUCAUCAGAGACUGCAAUCCUACUGUCUACACAGGAAGAAAAUUGUAAUUCGGAUGAGUCUGCAGAUUUAUUAAAAAGACCGUGUUAGAAAAAUAACCUGAAUGUGGUCAGGUCAGACAAGUUAUCAGAGAGUGUAUUCAGAGUAUAAAUGAGAGUGUGGUGAGAACUUCAGUCAGCGCUCAGGCCCUUAGAUUCAUUAGUCUCCACCACAUGAGAGAAGGUCGACUAAAGUGAUAUCUUAAGAGUGUAAUGGGAACCCUGCUAUCUGGUCACCGUGCGUGUCUUUCUGGACACACAGGAAAGCUAUGUUCACAUCCUCCUACACAGCUGGGUUGUAGCCAAGUGACUGAGUUCUGGCCAAUGGACUGAGGACACAAGGUAUAUGUACCACUUCCUGGCCUUGCCCAUGAAGCUAUUCCACGUGGUUCUCCCCUUCCUCUUCCACCGGGACCUCUAACCGUGAGUCAUGGAUGCCGCUUGUUCCAUAUUGUGUCGCUCUAAGGGGACGGACUGCCUGACCCCUGCUGGGCAUCCCUUGAGUGAGGAACUUUUGAUGCGCUAAGCCCCUGAGAUUUCAGGGGAUCUCUGAAGUGUACGUCUGUCCUGAAUAAUACAAAAGGUCUCAGUAGCAGCCGAUUUCAUAAUUACCCACGAAGGUCACCCUGUAAUUCCCUCUCUCCCUCCCCCCCUUAAAAUUUUGAAAUAAUUAUUUUCGAACACAUGAAAUUUACAGGCACAGUAACAAAGGACUUUCCUGAACUUUUGUAAAAAUAAGAUCUCAUGAUGCCCCAUCCCCCCUGCAUGCUCUAGUGUAUGUUAUACACAAAUAUGGAUAUUUCUCUACACAACCAUUUUAUAACAAUCAAAGUCAGGAAGUUAACAGUCGGGCAUUACUACCAUCUAACCCCCGUAUUCCAUUCACGUUUCACCAAUUGUCCCGUUAAUAUCCUUUAUAGGAAAAUUAUCCAAUCCAGGAUCACACAAUGCAUUUUGUUGUCCUGUCUCCUUAGGCUCCAUCACUAUUGAACAGUUCUUCAGACUUUCAUGACCUUGUCACUUUUGAAGAUUACAUGCUAGGUAUUUUUUUAUUGCGUAGGACAUCCCUUUAUUUGGACUUGUCUGAUGUGUCCUCGUGAUUAGAUUCAGGCUAUGUGUCUUUGGCCAGAACAUCACAGAAGUGACAAUAUGCUCUUAGGCUUACACUCGAUUAUCCCACUUGUGGUGACAUUGUGAUUACUGGAUAAUGUGAUGUCUGCCAUAACUUUCCACCGCAAAGCUACUCUUUUUUCCUUUAUAAUUAAGAAGUAGUUUGUGGAGUGGCACUUGGAGUUCAUGUAAAUAUCCACUCUUCAUUAAGCCCUCAUUAAUUUAUUUAUUAAUAUCGAUAUGGACUCCUGGAUUUCUAAUCUAUCAAUGUCUUAUGAUCAGUUGCUUUCUUUUAUUUUGAUCUUCAGAUGAACCCAGCUUUGGUAAUGGGAACCCCUUCAAGCUGGCUUCUCUGUUCUGUUGACAUGUCCCCGUCAUUCUUGAGUCACCCCCUUACUUGCUGGGACAAAAGGAUGUGCGAGGCUCCCCUCAUACUUUCCCAGCCCCAGAAUCAGCCGUUUUUUUACAAGAAUCCCUUCUUUCAUUCAGUGGAGAAUGGUAUUUAGAAACCAAAAUGUGGAUACUAGGUACACACAUUACUUUAGAGGCUCAUUGCUCCUUUAUAUAUUUUCUAUAUUUUUGAAAAGCAUAAACUGACACCGAUACCUCCGAUUCUAAUCCCAAACUGCAAGGUGCAUUCUGUUUUUCUCCUUUUCCUGGGAAGUGCUCCUGUGCAGAAGAGGUACCAUAGCAGGUCUCAGGCUGCCGUCUGGAGAAAGGCCUGCUUCCAAGGUUGCCCUCGAGGGACGUCUGGGAACUGGAUUUUGGUCGGGUUUCCACGGUUCCCUGACUGAUAACAGGGAUCCCCUGUGCCUAGACUCUUGGUGCAAAUAAUGCGGUGCAUGCUGAACACCUGCCUUCCCUCUGGGCGUCGGGACUUUGAGCAAGUGCCGGGCAGAGCGUGCCCAUGUGAGCGGCCUGCAGUCAGUGUCACGGGCACUCUGCGUCUAAGGGGCUUGCCUGAGAGAGACGCUUCACACAUGCGGUCCCACGUGUUGUCGGGGGGAUUAAGUGUGUGCUGUGUGACUUCACACAGAGAGGACAGUUGGGAAUUUAGACUGGCUUCCUCCACACUUCGCCCCAUGGAACAAAGCUUUAGAUAAACCAGAGGGAAAAAAGAGAGUGAGGAAGGGAAACACUGAGCCUCCCAGAUAGAAAACACAGCACAGAGUUGUCCCAGCCUCUCUCCGCCAGCAGCUGUAAUGCUGACCUUGUAAAUGCUGGGUUUAUUGUCAGGGGCUGGGGGCGGGGAAGGGACUUUUAAAAACACACCUUUGGGGCUGGCCAGGUGGCAUAGUGGUUACGUUUGUGUGCUCCACUUUGGCCACCUGGGGUCAUGGGUUCAGAUCCUGGGUGCGAACCUACAGACGGCUCACCAAGCCACCCUGAGGUGGUGUCCCACAUAAAAUAGAGGAAGACUGGCACCAAUGUUAGCUCAGUGACAAUCUUCCUUACCAAAAAAAAAAAAACAAAAAAAAAACCCCACCCCAAAACCAUGCCUUUGUAUUUUGUGGCUGUUGCACCUGGAUAUAUGAUAAAAAUUGAUGUAAAAUGUU
Molecule: non-coding RNA, 4723 nt
Organism: Equus caballus (horse)
Lineage: Eukaryota; Metazoa; Chordata; Mammalia; Perissodactyla; Equidae
Source: RefSeq, a predicted model, not a curated record